RNAcentral lists this ribosomal RNA (467 nucleotides) under uncultured bacterium. RNAcentral describes it as "partial 16S ribosomal RNA". It matches the Rfam family "Bacterial small subunit ribosomal RNA", at positions 28 to 507 of the family's 1533-position model. The record is from RNAcentral.
GACGAACGCUGGCGGAGUGCUUAACACAUGCAAGUCGAACGGAAAGGCCUCUUUCGGGGGGUACUCGAGUGGCGAACGGGUGAGUAACACGUGAGUAACCUGCCCUUGACUUUGGGAUAACUUCAGGAAACUGGGGCUAAUACCGGAUAGGAGCUCCUGCUGCAUGGUGGGGGUUGGAAAGUUUCGGCGGUUGGGGAUGGACUCGCGGCUUAUCAGCUUGUUGGUGGGGUAGUGGCUUACCAAGGCUUUGACGGGUAGCCGGCCUGAGAGGGUGACCGGCCACAUUGGGACUGAGAUACGGCCCAGACUCCUACGGGAGGCAGCAGUGGGGAAUAUUGCACAAUGGGUGGAAGCCUGGUGCAGCAACGCCGUGUGCGGGAUGACGGCCUUCGGGUUGUAAACCGCUUUCGCUCAUGACGAAGCUUUGUGUGACGGUAGUGGGUAAAGAAGCACCGGCUAACUACGUG